RNAcentral lists this unclassified non-coding RNA (152 nucleotides) under soil metagenome. Its description in RNAcentral is "partial internal transcribed spacer 1". The record is from RNAcentral.
GCGAGUAUGGCCCUCACGGGUCUAAUCCACCAUAACACCCUUUGUGAACCAGUCAGUGGGGACUCGGCCGUGAAAGCCCAGGCGAUUAGCGGAAGGGCCCUCCUUUGCAAACCCGUUUAGAAGUCUUGAAAGUACUUUUGUAUAAUCUAGUA